RNAcentral lists this ribosomal RNA (2736 nucleotides) under Colletotrichum graminicola. Its description in RNAcentral is "eukaryotic LSU rRNA". The stretch from base 318 to 2736 matches the Rfam family "Eukaryotic large subunit ribosomal RNA", at positions 1 to 2463 of the family's 3401-position model. Lineage: Eukaryota; Fungi; Ascomycota; Sordariomycetes; Glomerellales; Glomerellaceae. The record is from RNAcentral.
ACUUUUAAUAAUAGAUCUCUUAGUUCUAGUAUUAAUAAAGAACGUAGCAAAAUACAAUAAGUAAUAUAAAUUAUAGAAUUUAGUAAAUUAUUAAAUCUUUAAACGUAUAUUACGCCUACUAGUAUUCUAGUAGGCAUACCUAUUUAAGCGUUAUUUUAACCCUUAAGCUCUGCUUAGUGUUAGGGCCUUAUAGCGUACGUUAUAGGCCCUUAAAGGUAGUAGCAGACCCUCCUAGAGCCUCCUUUACGUAGUAACUAACGUCUUAUAUUAGGAUCUAGAGGGACUUUUGCUAUAAAACCCCUAACUUUUUAACUAGUUAACCUUAGAUUAGGUAGGAAUACCUACUAAACUUAAGUAUAUUAAUAAGUAGAGGAAAAGAAACUAAUAGGGAUUACCUUAGUAACGGUAAGUAAAGCAGUAACAGCUUAAAUUUAAAAUCUAGCCCUAGGCCUAAGUUAUAAUUUAUAGAGGAUGCUUUUAGCAUAGUGCCUUCUAAGUUCCCUAGAACGGGACGCUAUAGAGGGUGAGAGCCCUAUACGGUUAGACACUAAGCCUCUAUAAAGCUCCUUUAACAAGUUAAGUAGUUUAGGAAUACUGCUUAAAAUAGGAGGUAUAUUUCUUCUAAAGCUAAAUAUUAGCUAGAGACUAAUAGCGCAUAAGUAGAGUAAUUAAAAGAUAAAAAGCACUUUAAAAAGAGGGUUAAAUAGUAUAUAAAAUUAUUAAAAGGGAAGCGCUUAUAACUAGACUUACGCCUAGUAAAUCACCUAGCUCUUACAGCUAGGGCACUUCGCUAGCACAGGCCAGCAUUAGCUUGCCGUUAGGGACAAAAGCUUAGGGAACGUAGCUCUCUUUAGGGAGUGUUAUAGCCCCUUAUAUAAUACCUUUUAGCAGGCUAAGGUACAUGUUUAUAAGGAUACUAGCGUAAUAGUUAUUAGUAACCUAUCUUAAAAUAUAGACUAAGGAGUUAACCUUAUAUAUAAGUGUUUAGGUGUUAAACCCCUAUACGUAAUAAAAGUAAACGCAGGUAAGAGCUUUAGCGUAUUAUUAACUAAUCCUAAUAUUCUUAGAUAGAUUUAAGUAAGAGCAUAUAGGGUUAGACCUAAAAGAAGGUAAACUAUAUAUAUAUAAGGUAAAGCUAAAGGAAACUCUAGUAGAGGCUUAUAGCAGUUCUAACGUGUAAAUUAAUUAUUAAAUAUAUAUAUAGAGGCAAAAGACUAAUUAAACCUUCUAGUAGCUAGUUUCUACUAAAGUUUCCCUUAGGAUAGCAGUGUUAAACUUAGUUUUAUAAGGUAAAGUAAAUAAUUAAGGACUUAGGGGCGCUAUAUAGCCUUUAUCUAUUCUUAAACUUUAAAUAUAUAAAAAGCCCUUAUUACUUAAUUAAAUAUAGGCAUUUAAAUAUAUUAACACUAGUAGGCUAUUUUUAGUAAGCAGAACUAGCAAUAUAGAAUAAACUAAACGUAAGGUUAAGGUGCUAAAGUAGUUACUUAUUAGACACUACAAAAGGUGUUAGUACAUCUUAAUAGCAGGACGGUGGCUAUAGAAGUUAGAAUCUACUAAAGACUAUAUAAUAACUUACCUACUAAAUAUACUAGCCCUAAAAAUAGAUAGCGCUUAAGCAACUUACUUAUACCUUGCCCUUAGUGUAGAAAUAAUACGCUAAGGAGUAGGCAGACGUAGAGGUUAGUAAUAAAGCCUAGGGCGUAAGCCUAGGUAGAACGGCCUCUAGUGUAGAUCUUAGUAGUAGUAGUAAAUACUUUAAUAAGAACUUAAAGGACUAAAGUAGGGAAAGGUUCUAUGUAAAUAGCAGUUAGACAUAGGUUAGUUAAUCCUAAGCUAUAGGGAAGUUCUGUUUUAAAAGGGCACUUAUGCUUUAUAUAGCAAAAGGGAAGCCAGUUAAUAUUCUAGCACCUAGAUAUAGGUUUUACGUGGUAACGUAACUAAACGUAGAGAUAACGGCGGGGGCCCUAGGCAGAGUUCUCUUUUCUUCUUAACGGUCUAUUACCUUAAAAUCAGUUUAUCUAGAGCUAGGGUUUAACGGCUAAAAGAGCCUAGCACUUCUGUUAGGUCUAGUGCGCUCUUAACGUCCCUUAAAAAUCUAUAGAAAGGAAUAAUUCUUACGCUAGGUCGUACUUAUAACUACAGUAGGUCUCUAAGGUAAACAGCCUCUAGUUAAUAGAAUAAUAUAGAUAAGGGAAGUUAGUAAAACAGAUCUAUAACUUUAGGAUAAGGAUUAGCUCUAAGGGUUAGGUAUGUUAGGCUUUAGGCAGACGGCCUAGGAGCAGGUUGCUACUAGCUAGGCAACCGGCCGGAGGCUUUUAGUAUCUAGGUUCUAACACCUUUAGCAGGCUUUAGCUAUCUAGCGUAUAAUUAAUAACUAACUUAGAACUAGUACAGAUAAAGGGAAUCUAACUAUCUAAUUAAAAUAUAGUAUUAUAAUAGCUAGAAAGUGGUGUUAACGUAAUGUAAUUUCUGCCUAGUGCUCUAAAUAUUAAAGUAAAGUAAUUUAACUAAGCGUAGGUAAAUAGCAGGAGUAACUAUAACUCUUUUAAGGUAGCUAAAUGCCUUGUUAUCUAAUUAGUAACGUAUAUAAAUAGAUUAAUAAGAUUCCUACUGUCCCUAUCUACUAUCUAGUAAAACUAUAGCUAAGGGAACAGGCUUAGUAGAAUUAGUAGGGAAAGAAGACCCUAUUAAGCUUAACUUUAGUUUAAUAUUAAUAAAAAGACAUAGGAGGUGUAG